RNAcentral lists this unclassified non-coding RNA (327 nucleotides) under soil metagenome. RNAcentral describes it as "partial contains 5.8S ribosomal RNA, internal transcribed spacer 2, and large subunit ribosomal RNA". The stretch from base 1 to 120 matches the Rfam family "5.8S ribosomal RNA", at positions 35 to 154 of the family's 154-position model. The record is from RNAcentral.
GAUGAAGAACGUAGCGAAAUGCGAUAAGUAAUGUGAAUUGCAGAAUUCAGUGAAUCAUCGAAUCUUUGAACGCACAUUGCGCCCCUUGGUAUUCCGGGGGGCAUGCCUGUUCGAGCGUCAUUAUAACCCCUCAAGCUCAGCUUGGUGUUGGGGCCUGCCAACUGGCAGCCCUUAAAAUCAGUGGCGGCGCCAUCUGGCUCUAAGCGUAGUGAUUUCUCUCGCUAUAGGGUCCCGAUGGAUGCUUGGCAACAACCCCCAAUUUUCUAUGGUUGACCUCGGAUCAGGUAGGGAUACCCGCUGAACUUAAGCAUAUCAAUAAGCGGAGGA